UUUGAUUUUAUGAAUGCACAAUACAACACAAAAGUAUAUAACAGCUGAAUUGAAAUAUGCAGUAGUGGACCCAUAGACAUAACCUAACCAAAAGCUAGCUUUUUCAGAGUGACCAUAUGUAGUUCUAUCGAUUUUCGAUCGAAUAUCGGUUCACAAUUGAGCAUACUAAAACUCAAUAUUUCUGACCGAAAAUCAAAUAUUUUUCUAAGUAUUCACCGUUCAACAAUAAAAUUGGAAUUUAAUAAAUUUUGUGAGUGAAUAAAAAGUUGUUUUUACCGAAAAUUACCGAAUUUGCUUUAGAUUUCCUACCGAUAACCUCUAAAAACAAUCUGGUCACUUCGCGCCUGCAAUCGAAUCGAUUUUGAUCGUAAUCAAAAAUGGAGGAUGCUAGUCAAGAAUCUAUUGCGCUUAUUCAAAAAAAAGUAUGAUGCUAGUCUAAACUCAAUUGGAAAACCCUGUAUUUCGGCAGAUAAUUAACCGAGGUCGUGAAAUAUUUUUUAGUGUGUAGUAUUUGUAGUGGGCUAGUUGUGCACUUUGCAUUGUAGUUUAAUUUCAACCUGGUUAAUAUUUUCACUAUUGUGGGAAUAUUACAUCCGAUGUGUAAUGCAGUUGUGUUGUACCACCGAGGGACUCUAAAAUAGCUUUCAAGAAUUUAUUUUGAGCUCUUUGCAAUUUUAAUUUGUGUGAGUGGGCACAAUUUUACCUAAUGGGUACAACAGCAUUUCGUCUUUGAAAUUUAAUUUCGAUUUCCUAUUAAGAAAACUGUACAGAAUUCUAAAAAGUUUUUUCACAUUUAACAGUAACAUUUUCUGUAUGAUAUCUGUAUGUCAGUCGUUUAUCUACCGUUAGUCCUAGGUAUUUAGUAUGAUCUUUCCGAUAAAUUUCACAGUCGUUAAUUAAUGGUCUAGUAAUUGGAAGCUUCCGAGAACAGGUAUACCUUGUGAAGAAGAUACCCAAGUAGCCAAAAUUGCCUAAGCAGCUAAUUUUGGCAUGCUAAAGAUCGCUGCUUGAAUUCGCCUUUUGCAGUAGAUAAACAGCGUUAAAGUUCCAGGUGGAUCUUUUAAAUAGCGCCUAAGCAGCUUCCUUAUGCCACGGUGCCAGGGAUUAUUUUUCUUUGCGUUUUAUUUUCAAGCAAGGCGUCAUCAAUGAAAUAUGUUAGCGCCUAGAUGUAUGCUGAAAGGUAAUAGCAUACAAGUAGCCAUAAUUUAGUCCAUAACGAUAAGAGUUAGUUAGUGUUAGUGAGAACGCGUACGUCUAUUGAAAUGAUGAAAUAAAUGUUAGAGUCUAAGUUGAACCACCGUACAGAACACAUCGGUUUUUUUGAUUGAGCUAUUGAACAUUUGGUCCUUCGAACAAAAAGGGAUAAACGAGUUGUCAAAAUCGCAAUAGAAUUCGGGACAUUUAGAUUCUCAUCACAAGAUCGCUGCGAUUGUAUCGUUUUUGCUUGUGCUGAAUCCACGAGAUUGUUUGUGAGUGGAAGAGUGUAGGCGUACGAUUUGCCGGCGCAUGCCUUUAUGUGCGUGUUUUUUUACGUGAGUGCACAUGAAGUGGCAUAGAGUUUUGUGACUUUUAUUACACUUUUCCGGGAGUCGGCGGUUUAGAGUGCAGAAGUAAGCGAACGAUAACAGUGCGUAAGCGUAAUUUUGUGCGUGUACCGUUUUUUUUUUAGCUUUAGCAAUCGUGCUAGCGAUUUGUGCGUGUGCGUUAGUUCGGCCAUAGCGUGGGUCCGAGUUACAGAGGUGCGCGUAACUAUAGGUGACGUAAAAUUGUUUUUUUGUUGAUUGCUAGAAAACUACACACAUUUGUGUUGGACCUGCUCCUGAGUUGGGAUGAGAAGUGUAUUUCGGCCAAUUCGCGGGCCCCAAUGCUAGGAGUGGUAAAAUCGUGUGAAAAUUAGAACAAGUUUAGCGUCGGAAAGAUCGUUGCUAGGACAAUCAGUUUGCGGUUAGUGUGUUUCGGCCAUCGUGACCGAGUUGGUGUCAGUGUUCGCCAUCGCAAUUUGAGGAGUGUUGUUGAACUUUAAAAUGCCGAAAGCAUCGAAAGAAGCAGAAAAAAUGGUGCCGUGGAUAAGAAUUUACCAAGAUCGAUUGGCAGGCCUAGGGCAAUUUGAAGAAUUUAUGGAUAAUUACGUGGAUGCACAACGUUGUGAAUUAAGUAGUCAGCUUUUGUCCUUGGAAGAGGCAAAAAAGACUUAUGAAAGCGUGCGGGAAAAGUUGUUAUUGGAGUAUGAUGAGUGUGAUGAGGUACAGUUAAGAAGUGAGAGGAAGGAGUUUCAAAGAAAGUAUCACAAAGUGAAGGGUUUUCUGUUAGAAAAACAAGGACGAGAUGAAAGUGUACGACCGAUCGCGAACAGUACUAUGACGAACACAUUGUUUUCGAGUUCACAAGUGCGUUUACCGAAAAUAGAGCUUCCUACGUUUAGUGGUGAUAGUACGCAAUGGAUGAGUUUUAAGGAUCGUUUCGAAUCGAUGGUGCACGAGGUAGUGGAGUUGUCUGAAGUUAUGAAGCUGCAAUAUUUACUGGCGUCGUUGAGAGGAGAUGUAGCUCGACAACUUGAACAUGUUCAACUUAUGGGGGAGAACUAUUCGAGUACAUGGAAGGCGCUUUUUAAGCGUUUCGAUGAUGAAAAGAAGCUGAAGCGCGAGUAUUUUAAGGCGCUCAUGGAUCUUCAACCAAUGGCAGCAGCAACACCCGAAGAGUUGACUCGAAUCGUUAAUGAAUCUCGACGGUUGGUGCGGGGAAUGGAACGACUAAAAGAGCCAGUAUCAAAAUGGGCUACACCUUGAACAAGUCUGGUAAGAUGCAAAAUUCAUCACGAUACGUUAAUGGCAUACGAAAUCUUUGCAGCUGACACGGAAGACAAUUUUGAUGACCUGAUGGAAUUCUGUGAAAAGAGGAUAAAGAUUUUGAACAACACCGUUACCGAUGGGACAAACAGAAUAUCUACAAAAGCAGCUAAUGAUCCCAUUUCAAGUCGUGCAGAGAACAACGGGCAGAGAAAGAACCCCGGUACCAAAAUCCAUGCGACUUUUCGCUAACGGAUUGAUUAAAUGGCGCCCGAUUAGACGAUCCGAUAGAAGCACUUUUCAGGCUUAACGGAUAGUUUGAAUGACGCGACAUAGUCGUGUUGCAGCAACGUGUGAUAUGUAUCAUGCGAUGUCUUUUAUUGUACAUGCGUCUGGAUUUUUUAAUUCAUGCAGUGGUUGCGAUGAGAACGAAAAUUCUCUCACUCACACAACCACAACCCGUACACGGAACGUACGCGAGCUGUCAGUUUGUAAUGCAAACAAAGUGUUGAAGUGGAUCUAGUAGUUGAUGGGUUUCUAAAUCAUUCAAAUAACAGAAAUAUAUUAGAUACGGUAAGUGUAACAAUGUCCGCUUUGUUUUGUUUGUUCUCAACAAUUUGGCUGAUAUGUUUUUGCGUUGGAUAUAGAUUCCGAAAAUGAACCAAAACAACGUGGCGCAGCCCGGUAGAGGUAAGAAGAUUCCUGCAUCUGGAAAAAGAUCCCGCAAUAUUUUGGAGAAGGAAAAUGAAGAACCUGGAACUAAAAAAAAAGGUAAGAUUGCAUUGCAUUGUUUACAUGUGCGAUUGUUUAAUGCCCCCAGGACAAUCGCAUGGCAAUCGGAUUGAAGGCGCAACAUUUUCCAUACAAUCCGCAGUGUUGCGUUUUCUUCGCGCCAACUUUGCCUGUAUUUUCAAUGAGCCAAGCGAUUUUACCCCCUCCUACACGCGUUGUAUCCUACAGCACGCUUGUCGCGGCAACGUUCACCACAUACACACACAUCUCCACACUCAGCGUACGACAUCUUCCCUGUUGCUGUUCUGGACUCAGACAAAAUUUGUGUUUCUACACUUAUUGUUCAAAAAAGUAGAAGCUCUUAGGAUCUGAAUUUACAAACAAAUAUCAAAAUGUUAUGUUCUGCUAAUGAUAUUGCACUGAAUUUAAUUGCACUAAAUUAAGUUUUUACAUAUCUUUCGUAAAAGUUCGUCAGAGUAUGAAAAUGUCGAUACAAUUUGUCAUGAAUAACUUAAAUUUUAAGAUUUUCGCGCAUAAAAUUAUGACGCGCGCUGUGUGUGCAGCGGCGUAAUUCAUUACUCGUAUAGCCGUCUCGCUUCUUCUUGUGUGUCCUUUACCGUUGCUCACCGCUUCAAGAACAUUGCUGCUCACACACACGUCAGUCUGCGGCAAACAAUUGGAGGGGGAGGAUGUGUCGGUUUGCUCCAGAAAUCGUGUGUGAUUUUGGUGUUCCGGAUUUGGUUCCAUCGCUGUUUGUUUUGGUGGUAUUGUAAAGGUAAGAAUCAUCAACCGAUGUAAAAGUGUGAGAGUAAGAUGAUGCUGAUGGUGACUGAUGCUUUUCUUUGUUUCUUUUCCUGCUUUCAUCCACUGAUGGCGUCGAGCAUCGCCGAGGAUGUGAUCGAAUGCGGAAAAUUCUAAACGAGGAGCUUCAUUCCGGAUUUUGUUUGCAAUAAGCGCUGAAAUCAUCCUCCACCUUACAACGAACGGUCAACGGAUGAGGAAGGAGAGGAGGGACGGCAAAGGUACACGCACAAACGUGCACACAUCAGCCUUCUCUGUGAACGAGAACACGGGAGGGGGAGGCCGGCAACGUAUGGAACCUCUUCAUUUACGCUCUCUCGUGCGUUCGUGCGUGCGUGCGCGCGCGCGUCUGUGUGUGUAUGUAUGUGUGUGCAUGCCUGCGUGCGUGGCUGUGUGUGUUUUUGCCGCUUCGCAUAACGAGAUCCUACGGGAUCACCUUGCGAAAAACACUAGGAGAGGAGGGGGGGUAGGUAUAUGUGUCUGUGUGUGUAUGUGUGCGCGCGUGGUUGUGUGUGUGUUUUUUGCUGUUUCGCGAUCUCCUACGGAAUCACCUUGCGAAAACACGAGCGGGGGAGGAGUGGGGUGUGUGUUUGUGUGCUUGCCUGCGUGCGUGCGUGACUUUGUGUGUGUGUUUUUGCAUUCGCGUUCUCCUACGGGAUCACAUUGCGAAAAACACCAUGGGGAGGAGGAGGUGUGUGUGUGUUUUCUUUUCUUUGUCGUUUCGCACUCUCCCGCGGGUGCAUAAAAAGAAAGUGGAAAAUAAAAAAAAAAUUAACAACGGAUUCGUAAGUGUGUUUGAACUCAUUGCUAUCCGAAAAAAGUGAGGGGGGGCUCUUGAAAUGUAAUACACAUGUAUGCAACAUGUAUCGUGUCGCCGCGACGGUGUAUCUCGCUCAAUCCGUUAAGCCUGAAAAGUGCUUCUAUCGGAUCGUCUAAUCGGGCGCCAUUUAAUCAAUCCGUUAGCGAAAAGUCGCAUGGAUUUUGGUACCGGGGUGUAUGCAAUUAUUUUCAGCGUGCAAUAUAGUCCAACCGAAGUCAAGCCGACCAAUUGCAGAUUUUAAAACCGUCAUCAAACCGUCAAAGACAAAAACGGAAACCAUUGUGAAAGAAGAAGUUGUUUCCGAUAACAGCACAACGAAGGAUAUGAUCCAAGCAGCAAGCACCUCGUCAUCGUCAUAUCCGAAAACGGAAAACAAAAAAAAGGCACCCACUAAUGAAAAUGUUUUAUUAGCUCCCCCAACCGCCGACGUGCAAGCAAUAAUGUCGUACUUAACGAAGUGUCCCUGGCGAUCAUCAAUGAUUCCUAAACAAGAACAAGAAACUCCAGUUUGUUCAACACACAAACAAAAUCAACUAGAACCACAACAAGAAAAUGA
Molecule: long non-coding RNA, 5695 nt
Organism: Anopheles merus
Lineage: Eukaryota; Metazoa; Arthropoda; Insecta; Diptera; Culicidae
Exons: 4
Source: RefSeq, a predicted model, not a curated record